CCUACGGGGAGCUGCAGUGAGGAAUAGUGGUCAAUGGCCGGAAGGCUGAACCAGCCAAGCCGCGUGAAGGACGAAGGUGCCAAGCAUUGAAAACUUCUUUUGUCAAGGGACAAAAUCAGGCUCGAGAGCCUGACCGAGGGUACUUGAAGAAAAAGCAUCGGCUAACUCCGUGCCAGCAGCCGCGGUAAUACGGAGGAUGCGAGCGUUAUCCGGAUUUCUUGGGUUUAAAGGUAGCGUAGGCGGGCUGUUAAGUCAGCGGUAAAAGCCCGGGGCUCAACCCCGGCGAGCCGUUGAAACUGGCUGUCUUGAGAUGUCGAGAGGUAUGCGGACUGCGCAGUGUAGCGGUGAAAUGCUUAGAUAUUGCGCAGAACUCCGAUUGCGAAGGCAGCAUACCGGCGGCGAUCUGACGCUGAGGCACGAAAGCGUGUGUAUCGAACAGGAUUAGAUACCCCGGUAGUC
RNAcentral lists this ribosomal RNA (459 nucleotides) under uncultured bacterium. Its description in RNAcentral is "partial 16S ribosomal RNA". It matches the Rfam family "Bacterial small subunit ribosomal RNA", at positions 338 to 795 of the family's 1533-position model. The record is from RNAcentral.